AGUGGCGGACGGGUGAGUAACGCGUGAGAAUCUGCCUUGGGGUCGGGGACAACCACUGGAAACGGUGGCUAAUACCGGAUAAGCCGAUUGGUGAAAGAUUUAUUGCCCGAAGAGGAGCUCGCGUCUGAUUAGCUAGUUGGUGAGGUAAGAGCUCACCAAGGCAGCGAUCAGUAGCUGGUCUGAGAGGACGAUUAGCCACACUGGGACUGAGACACGGCCCAGACUCCUACGGGAGGCAGCAGUGGGGAAUUUUCCGCAAUGGGCGAAAGCCUGACGGAGCAAGACCGCGUGAGGGAGGAAGGCUCUUGGGUUGUAAACCUCUUUUCUCAGGGAAGAAGCUCUGACGGUACCUGAGGAAUCAGCCUCGGCUAACUCCGUGCCAGCAGCCGCGGUAAUACGGAGGAGGCAAGCGUUAUCCGGAAUUAUUGGGCGUAAAGCGUCCGCAGGUGGCGAUUCAAGUCUGCUGUCAAAGCACGGGGCUUAACUCCGUAAAGGCAGUGGAAACUGAAUAGCUAGAGUGCCGUAGGGGUAGAGGGAAUUCCCGGUGUAGCGGUGAAAUGCGUAGAGAUCGGGAAGAACAUCGGUGGCGAAAGCGCUCUACUGGACGGCAACUGACACUCAGGGACGAAAGCUAGGGGAGCGAAUGGGAUUAGAUACCCC
This 660-nucleotide ribosomal RNA is filed under the name uncultured bacterium. RNAcentral describes it as "bacterial SSU rRNA". It matches the Rfam family "Bacterial small subunit ribosomal RNA", at positions 94 to 788 of the family's 1533-position model. The record is from RNAcentral.